AUUGAACGCUGGCGGCAGGCCUAACACAUGCAAGUCGAGCGGAUGAAGGGAGCUUGCUCCGGGAUUCAGCGGCGGACGGGUGAGUAAUGCCUAGGAAUCUGCCUGGUAGUGGGGGAUAACGUCCGGAAACGGGCGCUAAUACCGCAUACGUCCUGAGGGAGAAAGUGGGGGAUCUUCGGAACUCACGCUAUCAGAUGAGCCUAGGUCGGAUUAGCUAGUUGGUGGGGUAAAGGCCUACCAAGGCGACGAUCCGUAACUGGUCUGAGAGGAUGAUCAGUCACACUGGAACUGAGCCACGGACCAGGCGCCUGCGGGAGGGCGCAGUGGGGAACAUUGGGCAAUGGGCGAAAGCCUGAUACAGCCAUGCCGCGUGUGUGAAGAAGGUCUUCGGAUUGUAAAGCACUUCAAGUUGGGAGGAAGGGCAGUAAGUUAAUACCUUGCUGUUUUGACGUUACCAACAGAAUAAGCACCGGCUAACUUCGUG
This 484-nucleotide ribosomal RNA is filed under the name uncultured bacterium. Its description in RNAcentral is "partial 16S ribosomal RNA". It matches the Rfam family "Bacterial small subunit ribosomal RNA", at positions 30 to 507 of the family's 1533-position model. The record is from RNAcentral.